GACUCAAUGACCUCACAAGGUCCCUUCCAGUUCUAGUGUUCUAUGAUUCUAUGAAAAGGGACUUAAAGGGCAGGUGGGUACCAGGAUUACAGUAGGCAUCCAGGGCAAAAUGACCACAAGGAAAUCACACUCAGAAUUCACCUGGCUUCAGGUUUCAUCAUGAGAAAAAUAACCCCAAAACAAACCCGUCUAGCACAGACGGUAUUUUCCGGUUGAGAUGUGGAACAAACACAAGCUUGGCUGCGCCACUCCAGAGCAACAAGAACUACUAGGGAAAAAAAAUAAAUAAGAGACUCAGAUUAAUCCCGGGUGUGGUGAACGCAACGUCCGGACAACUGAAGUGUUAUGCUAGCAUCGGAUCCCAAGAAGAAAUAUGAGCUUCUGUUGUAGCCAAGAAUUCCCCACCAUCAGGACACUGGAAAACUGAAUAAAUACAGCUCUAUGGGCUGAUGAGGGUGAA
Non-coding RNA from Pelodiscus sinensis (Chinese soft-shelled turtle), 460 nucleotides. The record is from RefSeq and is a predicted model, not a curated record. NCBI's taxonomy places the organism in Eukaryota, Metazoa, Chordata, Testudines, Trionychidae.